CUGACGAACUCAUGGAUCCCACACUGCCAAGAAAAACUUCUAGCGAGACGAAAUCCGCCCGUACCGUAAACCGACACAGGUAGGCGGGGAGAGAAUCCUAAGGUGCGCGGGAAACCCUCGUUAAGGAACUCGGCAAAUUGCAUCCGUAACUUCGGGAGAAGGAUGACCCUGAGUAGGCGAAAGGGAGAAACCCCCGGAACAGAAAAGGGUGGCAGAAAAGAGGCCCAAGCAACUGUUUACCAAAAACACAGGUGCCUGCGAAAGCGAAAGCUGAAGUAUAGGUGCUGACGCCUGCCCGGUGCUGGAAGGUUAAGGAGAGAGGUCAGCGAAAGCGAAGCUUUGAACUGAAGCCCCAGUGAACGGCGGCCGUAACAAUAACGGUCCUAAGGUAGCGAAAUUCCUUGUCGGGUAAGUUCCGACCCGCAUGAAAGGCGUAAUGAUUUGGGCACUGUCUCAACGAGGGGCCCGGUGAAAUUGAAAUACCUGUGAAGAUGCAGGUUACCCGCGACUGGACAGUAAGACCCCAUGGAGCUUCACUGCAGCUUGAGAUUGAAUCCCGGUGACAUAUGCACAGGAUAGGUGGGAGGCUAAGAAGUAAUGCCUUUGGGUGUUACAGAGCCGAUGUUGGGAUACCACCCUUAUGUUGCUGAGAUUCUAACACGGAGACUAACAACCUCGUGGACCAUCUCAGGCAGGCGGUUUGACUAGGGCGGUCGCCUCCUAAAAUGUAACGGAGGCGCCCAAAGGUUCCCUCAGGCCGGACAGAAACCGGCCGAAGAGUGCAAAGGCAGAAGGGAGCUUGACUGCGAGACAGACAAGUCGAGCAGAGACGAAAGUCGGGCUUAGUGAUCCGGUGGUACUGAGUGGAAAGGCCAUCGCUCAACGGAUAAAAGCUACCCUGGGGAUAACAGGCUAAUCUCUCCCAAGAGUUCAUAUCGACGGGGAGGUUUGGCACCUCGAUGUCGGCUCAUCACAUCCUGGAGCUGGAGUAGGUUCCAAGGGUUGGGCUGUUCGCCCAUUAAAGUGGUACGCGAGCUGGGUUCAAAACGUCGUGAGACAGUUUGGUUCAUAUCCAUCGCGGGCGCAAGAAGUUUGAGGGAGGCUGCUCCUAGUACGAGAGGACCGGAGUGGACGGAUCAACGGUGUACCAGUUGUCACGCCAGUGGCACGGCUGGAAAGCCGCAUCCGGAAAGGAUAAACGCUGAAAGCAUCUAAGCGUGAAGCCCGUCCCGAGAUGAGACUUCUCAUCAGCAAUGGGUAAGACCCCUUAAAGACGAUGAGGUUGAUAGGCUGUGAGUGGAAGUGGCGCAAGUCAUGGAGCGACGCAGUACUAAUAGGUCGAGGUCCUACC
Molecule: ribosomal RNA, 1351 nt
Filed under: metagenome
Description: bacterial LSU rRNA
Rfam family: Bacterial large subunit ribosomal RNA
Source: RNAcentral